CGGACGGGUGAGUAACGCGUGGAAAACCUGCCGUAUACUGGGGGAUAACACUUAGAAAUAGGUGCUAAUACCGCAUAAGCGCACAGCUUCGCAUGAAGCGGUGUGAAAAACUCUGGUGGUAUACGAUGGUUCCGCGUCUGAUUAGCUAGUUGGUGGGGUAAUGGCCUACCAAGGCAACGAUCAGUAGCCGGCCUGAGAGGGUGAACGGCCACAUUGGGACUGAGACGCGGCCCAAACUCCUACGGGAGGCAGCAG
RNAcentral lists this ribosomal RNA (255 nucleotides) under uncultured bacterium. RNAcentral's name for it is "partial 16S ribosomal RNA". It matches the Rfam family "Bacterial small subunit ribosomal RNA", at positions 99 to 354 of the family's 1533-position model. The record is from RNAcentral.